AUUGAACGCUGGCGGCAUGCUUUACACAUGCAAGUCGAACGGUAACAGGCCUUCGGGUGCUGACGAGUGGCGAACGGGUGAGUAAUGCAUCGGAACGUGCCCAAUCGUGGGGGAUAACGUAGCGAAAGUUACGCUAAUACCGCAUAAGCCCUGAGGGGGAAAGUGGGGGACCGCAAGGCCUCACGCGAAUGGAGCGGCCGAUGUCAGAUUAGCUAGUUGGUGGGGUAAAGGCUCACCAAGGCGACGAUCUGUAGCGGGUCUGAGAGGAUGAUCCGCCACACUGGGACUGAGACACGGCCCAGACUCCUACGGGAGGCAGCAGUGGGGAAUUUUGGACAAUGGGCGCAAGCCUGAUCCAGCCAUGCCGCGUGUGGGACGAAGGGCCUUCGGGUUGU
RNAcentral lists this ribosomal RNA (395 nucleotides) under uncultured bacterium. RNAcentral describes it as "bacterial SSU rRNA". It matches the Rfam family "Bacterial small subunit ribosomal RNA", at positions 29 to 426 of the family's 1533-position model. The record is from RNAcentral.